Non-coding RNA from Rattus norvegicus (Norway rat), 4766 nucleotides. NCBI's taxonomy places the organism in Eukaryota, Metazoa, Chordata, Mammalia, Rodentia, Muridae. The record is from RefSeq and is a predicted model, not a curated record.
UGGAGGCUGCCUGAACAGGGUGUCCCCAAGCCAAGUGGUCUAGACUCUGUAAGCUCCCCAGAUGGACACAGGCCCUGGGGUGAGAGACUGGGUGUUAAAGCUAGGGACCAUACACGUGGGCAGGGCUGGGCACUGCUGUCUGUAGGCUGUAUGUGUGUCAUUGCCACCCACAGCCACUGCUUUCCUUUGUGUCCUCUCUGGUCUGUAAACAAGUGAUUCUCCCUCAGGACCUUUGGCACUCAGGGAAUGAGUCACUUUUCAGUCCAUGGUUUGGAGGUACCAGAUGUCUCUGGAACUUUCCAGGUUGGCUUUCACUCCGGGUAUACUUGGAGCUUUGGGAUCUGCCACAUGGAUGGAUCCAUGGACUCUAGCUCAACUUAGCCCUUUGGAAAUGGGUGUCCCAGUGGAGUCUUCUAUUCCUCAGAGACAUGUGUUACAUAUAAUUAUGUGUGCCCUUGAAGACAUGAUGUCCUUGCUUUUAGUAUUGUUUUUGCUGAUGUGUUUUCCACUAGUUUUCCCUUUCCUUCUUAAAGGACCCAUGCUUUAUUUAUUUUGCUCAAAUUCAUAUGAGAAACACUAGGCUCAGUCCACCCAGUGCCUCUCCGCUGCUCCCCAGGGCUCUUGGGACGGGUAUAAAAUCCCCUGGGUGAAGGAGGGACACCCACAGUCUUCUUCCAGAUCUUUCCCAUGGUGCAUCACUCUCCCACAGGCAGGGGAGGAAGUCAGGGGAGCGUGAGGUAAUCGAGCUUGCACACAAUUUAUUAACUCUGACUUGUAAAUUAAAACAUCCAGUGGUACAAAUUAGGGCUGAAUAGAGAGCAAAUGAGACUCUGCCUCUUCUCCUCUGGCCUGGAGUGGAGCUUCAGCAUGUCCAAGAUAAUGUGGGAACCUUCACAGGACUGUGCAUGUGCUGCAGGAUUUGCUGGCAUCCCGGCUCUGAGUCUCAUGAGAGGAGACCAUGAGGUCCACAGGGCUGCCUGUCUGGAAACGCUGGGACUCUGGCUACACUUCAUCCCAGAGAGGGUAGGCUGAAGAGAGAUGCCCCUGACCCCCUGGUCCUCCAUUCUCUUUUCCCUCCAAGAAUCAGCUCGCACUUUGGCCUGGAGGACUGCUUCUGCAUGCUCACUGGCUACUUGUGAAGUCUUGUUCCAGACGGCUGGGGCCUUGGACCAGGUGCAUUUGUGUCUGGCAUAUCUCGAAGUCUGAGUAGUUGCUGGCUCCAGCGUGGAGUGGCAAAGCAGGAGGCCAGGACUCUAUUAGCAGGCAGGCGCUCUGGAGCAGAGAUGGUAUCUCUAUCAAGCUCCCCUGGGGUCCCCUCGCCUGCUGCCCUUGAUGAGUUUAAAUCACACCAAUCAAUUCUGGCCCCAGAGGCCCCAGAGGGAGGCCAUGGCAGAGCAGCAAUCGCUCCCUUGACCUGGACCAUGGCUGUCAGGGCUCUGUUAACUCGGGACAUCGGACUUGACUUUGCAUCAGGCGACCGCUCGUCUGGGUUAGCUUUCCUUCUCGAUAAUUGGUGGGGUCAGCGGAGUGGGGAACAUCACCCCUGCUGUACUCCAUUUUCUUCGCUUGCCCCUUUCUCCCUUGCUGGCUUCUAGAGCCCACACACUUGAGCUCUGGUCUUAUCACACAGUCUUAAUAUUCCACAGGUGGAAGGAUUCAGGCUUGGUGACAUGGGGAGCAAGCUUGAACACAGGUCUCUACAUACAGCCAACACUGAGCCCUGUUGUAUGCUACUGAUAGCUCCUGAAUAGUCUUAGGAACACUGUCUGGGGAAGGGGGAGGGGGAGGAGCCAUAAUAAAAUGUGAUCUCUAAUUGCAGAGUGACAGGAGCACAAUGAGAGCUGAGAGAGGUUGGUGCUGGCUGCAGAGGCUGGCAGGCCAGGCGAGUCAGACACUGAAGGGGAGGGUUCUGGGUGGUACAGUAACUACCUGCUUUCUCCCAUACCUGCAGGGACUACCCAGGAUGCUCUGCUCUUUAGGCCACCUUCUUAUGUCUGCCUAUAUAGUCUUUGUUGUCAUGCAGCUUGUUGACCUCCACCCUCUAGUUACAGUUAGGAAAAAGGCCAUGUCUGGUGGCUGGAGCCACCUCUACCAUUCAAUCACUCUGUGGGAUGCUUAAUGCGUACUCCCUCCUGCCUUGGCUCACUAUUUAGAUGGUUCAACUGGGUCUCUGAGGUUCCUUGAACAUGGCCUCAGCCUUAUAUGUAGUUUUCUGAUGGAGCAGAGACCUGUAACCACCAUGCACUCUGUGUAUUCUGUGUCAAGGGCAUCAGUGGACUGUUGGUUUCCAUAAAAGGAACAGACACUGCGAUGUUAGGCCUGUAGCAGAUGGACCACAGGGACCCACCACCAUUAUCACAAAAGGGUCUGAAUGGAGUUAUGUUUCUCCAGAAGGCUGAGUAUUUAGUGGUGGUGGGAGUAGAGGAUAGGGGUGGAGCUGAAGAUGACUGGUGCUGAAACCAGCUGGAGCUGGUUAUGGCUGCAGCUGGCUGGAGCUGGUUGGGCCUGGCUGGGACUGGCUGGAGCUGGCUGGGACCGACUGGAGCUGGCUGGAGCUGGAUGGAGCUGGCUAGAGUUGGAGCUAGAGCUGGUUGGAGCCGGCUGAAGCUGGCUGGAGCUGGCUGAAGCUGGCUGGAGCUGGUUGGAGCCGGCUGAAGCUGGCUGGAGCUGGCUGAAGCUGGCUGGAGCUGGUUGGAGCUGGCUGAAGCUGGCUGGAGCUGGCUGAAGCUGGCUGGAGCUGGUUGGAGCUGGCUGAAGCUGGCUGGAGCUGGCUGGAGAUGGCUGAAGCUGGCUGAAGCUGGUUGGAGCUGGUUGGAGCUAGCUGGGGCUGGCUGGAGCUGGUUGGAGCUAGCUGGGGCUGGAGCUAGAGCUAGAGCUGGCUGGAGCUGCCUAAUGCUGGAGUUGGCCUGGGCCAUUGCAGCAGAGGCUGGUUAAACACCUGAGAGAUUUAAUAACUGCCAAUGUCCACCCAUUAGCUGGAAACAGGAGAUGAUGGGGCCCUGCCCUGUUAAUCCCAAAGAAGCUUCAUAAUACAUCUCUACUCUCUACAGAGAGAGUCUCUGUCUUGAUAUCCUCUACACACCAAUGUAGUGUCUGAGAAGUUAGUGUCUUGUAGUUAGGUCUCCUGAUCAUGUUGGCCUUGGUCAUAUCAUCUGCCUGUAGCAGCCCUUGGAGGGAGAACAGAUGGGAGCAAUCUUGUCAUUGGUGAAUAGUAGAUGUGGGCUUGGGCCUUUAGCCAGGUCUUACCCAGUGGCUUGGUACUUAGGGAUGUGAUAACAUGCCAAACAGAGGUCGUCACACCGACCAUCCCUCCCAUUUCCAGUGGUCUGUUUGGUGGCUCACACGACCUGGCUUUGAGUCCAUUCUUCCACUCGGAGUCCUGGCUCAACUGGAGCUUGUCCGGGGUAGCCAGCCUUGUAGCAGUCUCAGCCCAUCUCCUACCUCAGGCAGCUUGGCUAUCUGUGUGCUUUUCAUAUAGGAGCUGUCUCUCCUUAGCUGCUAGAGCCAUUGGGGAUGUGACCUGCAUCUGCUUUUGCUCUUUACAAUGUCUCCAGCUUUGAAGCCCGGGCCAAGCACUUAGAGGCUUCUCGGCAUGCUGAUGGAGUCCAGAGUGACUGUGCCUGUCUGGAAUCCAUAGUGACCCUGUGACUGUCAUGGCUGGUAUGAGGCACUGGAUACUGUGUCUAUGUCGUGUCUGUCAUCACGUGCGGUCAGCUCUCCCCCUGUGUGACGUCACUGUCAUCUUGUGUGUGGUCACAUCUUCCCCUAUGACAUCACAUCACUUAACCAUUGUCAUGAGUGACUUACUCUCAUACGUCUUCUGUGUUGAUACCCUAUGUGUUCCCAGGGAGGGCUUUGGCUCGGGUCACUGCGCCUGGCAUUUUCCCAUCAUGACUAGUUUAUAUUCUCACCCCGAGGUUUAGCAAAAAAAAAAAUAUUGAAUCAAUUGUUUUUAAUUAUGUCCAUCUUGUAUCGUUUAGGUUACAGGCACCGUUCAAUACUGCUUUACAGCCCAGCAGCCAUGGGAACAUUGUUCAAUAUCCCGAUAUGGAAUACCAGAGUUUUCUUUCUGUUUAACUCAUAAACUAGUUUAAAAAGUGCCAUAUUUUUCUGCUUCGAUUGCUGUCCUCCCCCCUUUACAGCUCUGCACAUUGCACUGGCUGCAGAACAGGGCUUUGAAAAAUGCUAAUGACGGUGUUUAGUUUACUACCCAAGGGCUGUCUGAACAACAGUGGCCAGCCAGUGGGAGGGGUGACCCAGAGCCCCGGGCAUGUGGGCAGGAAAGCAAGAGGGCCUUCUCCAGCCUCCUCUGGUCACUUGGGGAGCCUCUGUGAGCUCACUGCUGUUGGUCUCUUGUGGGAAAGAGCAGGCAAAGGGAGCUGGACAUGAACACCCAACUCUCUUCUAAACAAGGUGUGGGCCAGCACGAACAGUGGGACAAGAAGGGACACAGGCCAGUUUAGACUUUUUUUUCCCUGGCUGGCUGAUCCCAUUUCUCACAAUUUAUAAAAUGAGCCAAAUCAGCUGAACUCGUAGGGUUUGGUGGGUGGGAAGAAGUGAACACCAAUCAGUUUCCUACUUUGUGGGUAUCUGCUUGGAGCCUCAGAGGACAUCAGCAGACGAUCAGAACCACCAGGUGCCGUGAAGACUCUGAGGUCCCACCUCAAGGUUUCUGAAAAGGAAAAAAACACCUGAAAGGAACAACGUGAAGGAAGAAGGCUUUAUUCUAGCUCACUUUUCAGAGAUGUCAAUCCAUUUUUGGCCAA